UACGAAGGGUGCAAGCGUUACUGGGAAUUACUGGGCGUAAAGCGUGCGUAGGUGGUUUGUUAAGUCUGUUGUGAAAGCCCCGGGCUCAACCUGGGAAUGGCAAUGGAUACUGGCAGGCUAGAGUGCGGUAGAGGGUAGUGGAAUUCCCGGUGUAGCGGUGAAAUGCGUAGAGAUCGGGAGGAACACCAGUGGCGAAGGCGGCUACCUGGACCAGCACUGACACUGAGGCACGAAAGCGUGGGGAGCAAACAGG
This 253-nucleotide ribosomal RNA is filed under the name uncultured bacterium. Its description in RNAcentral is "partial 16S ribosomal RNA". It matches the Rfam family "Bacterial small subunit ribosomal RNA", at positions 524 to 776 of the family's 1533-position model. The record is from RNAcentral.